GACGAACGCUGGCGGCGUGCCUAAUACAUGCAAGUCGAACGCACUCUCGUUUAGAUUGAAGGAGCUUGCUCCUGAUUGAUAAACAUUUGAGUGAGUGGCGGACGGGUGAGUAACACGUGGGUAACCUGCCCUAAAGUGGGGGAUAACAUUUGGAAACAGAUGCUAAUACCGCAUAAAACCUAACACCGCAUGGUGUAGGGUUGAAAGAUGGUUUCGGCUAUCACUUUAGGAUGGACCCGCGGUGCAUUAGUUAGUUGGUGAGGUUAAAGGGCUCACCAAGACCCGUGAUGCAUAGCCGACCUGAGAGGGUAAUCGGCCACACUGGGACUGAGACACGGCCCCAGGACUCCUACGGGAGGCAGCAGUAGGGAAUCUUCCACAAUGGACGAAAGUCUGAUGGAGCAACGCCGCGUGAGUGAAGAAGGUUUUCGGAUCGUAAAACUCUAGUGUUGGAGAGAAUGUAUCUGAUAGU
RNAcentral lists this ribosomal RNA (472 nucleotides) under uncultured bacterium. RNAcentral describes it as "bacterial SSU rRNA". It matches the Rfam family "Bacterial small subunit ribosomal RNA", at positions 28 to 461 of the family's 1533-position model. The record is from RNAcentral.